Molecule: ribosomal RNA, 270 nt
Filed under: uncultured bacterium
Lineage: Bacteria
Description: partial small subunit ribosomal RNA
Rfam family: Bacterial small subunit ribosomal RNA
Source: RNAcentral
AGGACGAACGCUGGCGGUGUGCUUAACACAUGCAAGUCGAGCGGUAGGGCCCUUCGGGGUACACGAGCGGCGAACGGGUGAGUAACACGUGGGUGACCUGCCCCCUACUCUGGGAUAAGCCUGGGAAACUGGGUCUAAUACCGGAUAUGACCUGCUGUCGCAUGAUGGUGGGUGGAAAGUUUGUUCUUAAUUGGACACUUCGGUGGGGGAUGGGCCCGCGGCCUAUCAGCUUGUUGGUGGGGUGAUGGCCUACCAAGGCGACGACGGGUA